GCUGUGGCUUGGUGGUAGAACAUCUGCUUUGCAUGCAGAAGGUCCUGGGUUCGAUUUCCUGUGGAAAUU
Molecule: transfer RNA, 69 nt
Filed under: Sphaerodactylus townsendi
Lineage: Eukaryota; Metazoa; Chordata; Lepidosauria; Squamata; Sphaerodactylidae
Description: tRNA-Ala
Source: RNAcentral